AGUCGUUGGGUCUGUAUCCUUUUUGGUCAGUUUUGUUUUAAUCUCAUAAUCUUUGUUUCUUUCAUCGCUAAAUUUUGAACUUAAAACAUGCAGACUCUAAGGGACACCAUCCAUCAAGAGUAUCAUGAUGUUGUCGAGAGGCGAGUUUUUACAGUGACGGGAGCAAGAGCUGAUGAAGAGACAAUUGAAAGAUUAAUCGAGACAGAAGGCAGUGAACAAAAUUUUCCAGAAGGCAAUCCAAGAACAAGGGGGAGGCCAGAUAAUGAACACUCUGGCCGAAAUUCAAGAGCGACAUGAUGCUAUUAGAGAUCUUGAGAGGAAGCUUCUCGAUUUACAACAGGUUGUUUUUUUAUUUCUAUAGGGGAGUUGCAGGUGUCCAUGUCAGAUUCAUAAGGAAAAAGAACCAUUUUUGUGGAUAUAUUUAAACAUUCUGCUUGAAUCAGGACUUAUCGAAUCAAGGCAGCUACAAGGAAAUUUGAACUUUGGCAUGUACAGAUACGAUUUUGCAACAAAGCUAGGUACCUUCUAGACUUAUUGGAUGUGGAGAUUUGUAUGAUCGAAUUUGUGAUUAAUAUACUUGGAUUUUAUUAAAUUUUUCAUGAUUUUAUAGAGUUUUUCAUUUAAAUUUGUGGGUUUUUGUUUAAAUUGUGGGUUUUGGAGAUUGAAUAUGUAAAGGCUGCUUGAGAAACUAACAGUAUACAAAAUUUCAAUGACUCUGUUUGUUCAAUUGACUGCAACUCAUGCCACAGUUUGCUUCACAAACCUCUACGGUUAGCUUCCAUACAGUAUGUUACAAGUUUGAGGAUAUCUGUACAUCUUAAUUUCUGCUCUCUGGUUGCUUCAAGUUUGUAAUUUUACGUGCUACACUGCCACUUGAUUUGAUUAUAAAAAUGUAAAACAAAAUCCGUCAAUGAGUCGAUUUUUGAUGUUUUUCCAGUGUAGGGCAUAUGUUGCACAAGCAUGUAAAUGGUAGCAAUUAUUUGGUUUUGGACAGUAAGCUUUGAGUUUUACAAGAAAAAUCAAGAAAAUGUGUCGCUCAUCUAUCCCUCUGUUCAUUCAGGAUUAUAUUUAAUUUAUUCAGGUUAAAUGUGUCUUAUUCAUGCAGUUAAGGCUGGUGCAUUUAAGGUCCCGCAGCAAAGUGCGGGCAUAUUUUCUAGUCUAUAUACUAAAACUGGGUUCGGCUGGCACUGUUUUUCACUGUUUGUGAACAGUGAAAUGGCGGAAAUGCCCUUUGUUUCUUCUAAUCCCACGUUUUGUUGUUUGCUUGGUACAGAAAAAUUUCGAUUUUACCCUUUUUUGCCACGGGUCGAUCAUCGUUGAAGGCUCCACUCAGACUUUCUUCUCGACUUUUCCUUCCGUUUCCAUUUCUCUCUAUGCGGUCUUCUCUUUUCUCCUCUCCUCAUCUCUCUAUUCCGUUUACCUUUUUACUGCCAUCAACCCUCCCUUCCUUUUUCUCUCACUACAGCCACCGCAAAACCCCUCAAGCCCUCAUACCCUCAAACCAACAAAUUUAAUUCCACAAUCUCUCACACUUAAUCUAAACCCUCGAACCAAAAACUCGAUUUCAAGUAUCAAGCAGCCAGGUUUUUGGGUGUUGGAAUUUCGGCGAACUGUUUCUUGCCAUUAUUACCAAUCUUCAUGGCUUUGUCUCUCAGGUUCGAUGCUCAAAUUUAAGGUUUUUUGUUGGAGAAGUGGUGGACCUUUUAAUUGUGCCUGUUGUGUUAGUGGUCGUUGCUGGACCGGCAAGAAAAAGUCUACUGUGCAUAACACCAUGCCUGCAUUUUUGCAGCAAAGACCAAAUCAAGUAGAACUAUUUGGGUAUUUAUCCUAAACCUAAUUAUUCUAAUUUAAAUGGAGUCUACUCUAACAGAUACGAAUUUGUAUUAUGUUAUCAAAUUUUAUUUUUCUAAUUUUUGAUUUUGGGGUUUUGCAGGAAGUGCUAAAAU
Molecule: non-coding RNA, 1946 nt
Organism: Malus domestica (apple)
Lineage: Eukaryota; Viridiplantae; Streptophyta; Magnoliopsida; Rosales; Rosaceae
Source: RefSeq, a predicted model, not a curated record